Molecule: long non-coding RNA, 203 nt
Filed under: Olea europaea (common olive)
Lineage: Eukaryota; Viridiplantae; Streptophyta; Magnoliopsida; Lamiales; Oleaceae
Description: long non-coding RNA (OEUR_LNC000424)
Source: RNAcentral
GGUAAACUAUUCAAUCAUGAGUUUCUUGACAAAUUUGACGAAGAUCAUUAUGUUCUCCUCAUUUUGAUGUUAAUACAUCUUUCUUUGUAGGAUUCAACCUUCUCCCACUGGAAGUUCUACCUGAUUCACAAGCUUCAGAUGAAGUCGGUGAAUAUGAUCCAUCUACAUGUACCGGACUUUUCAACAGUUUGGCCACUGGAAAU